This 1117-nucleotide ribosomal RNA is filed under the name uncultured bacterium. RNAcentral describes it as "bacterial SSU rRNA". It matches the Rfam family "Bacterial small subunit ribosomal RNA", at positions 391 to 1502 of the family's 1533-position model. The record is from RNAcentral.
CCCAUCCCGCUGUAUGAAGAAAGCCUUCGGGUUGUAAAGUACUUUCAGCAGUGAGGAAGGUGGGUUUGUUAAUAGCAUAUUCAUUUGACGUUAGCUGCAGAAGAAGCACCGGCUAAUUCCGUGCCAGCAGCCGCGGUAAUACGGAGGGUGCGAGCGUUAAUCGGAAUUACUGGGCGUAAAGCGCAUGCAGGUGGUUUGUUAAGUCAGAUGUGAAAGCCCGGGGCUCAACCUCGGAAUUGCAUUUGAAACUGGCAAACUAGAGUACUGUAGAGGGGGGUAGAAUUUCAGGUGUAGCGGUGAAAUGCGUAGAGAUCUGAAGGAAUACCGGUGGCGAAGGCGGCCCCCUGGACAGAUACUGACACUCAGAUGCGAAAGCGUGGGGAGCAAACAGGAUUAGAUACCCUGGUAGUCCACGCCGUAAACGAUGUCUACUUGGAGGUUGUGGCCUUGAGCCGUGGCUUUCGGAGCUAACGCGUUAAGUAGACCGCCUGGGGAGUACGGUCGCAAGAUUAAAACUCAAAUGAAUUGACGGGGGCCCGCACAAGCGGUGGAGCAUGUGGUUUAAUUCGAUGCAACGCGAAGAACCUUACCUACUCUUGACAUCUACAGAAGCCAGCGGAGACGCAGGUGUGCCUUCGGGAACUGUAAGACAGGUGCUGCAUGGCUGUCGUCAGCUCGUGUUGUGAAAUGUUGGGUUAAGUCCCGCAACGAGCGCAACCCUUAUCCUUGUUUGCCAGCACUUCGGGUGGGAACUCCAGGGAGACUGCCGGUGAUAAACCGGAGGAAGGUGGGGACGACGUCAAGUCAUCAUGGCCCUUACGAGUAGGGCUACACACGUGCUACAAUGGCGCAUACAGAGGGCGGCCAACUUGCGAAAGUGAGCGAAUCCCAAAAAGUGCGUCGUAGUCCGGAUUGGAGUCUGCAACUCGACUCCAUGAAGUCGGAAUCGCUAGUAAUCGUGGAUCAGAAUGCCACGGUGAAUACGUUCCCGGGCCUUGUACACACCGCCCGUCACACCAUGGGAGUGGGCUGCAAAAGAAGUGGGUAGUUUAACCUUCGGGAGGACGCUCACCACUUUGUGGUUCAUGACUGGGGUGAAGUCGUAACAAGGUAACCG